Molecule: ribosomal RNA, 262 nt
Filed under: uncultured archaeon
Lineage: Archaea
Description: partial 16S ribosomal RNA
Rfam family: Archaeal small subunit ribosomal RNA
Source: RNAcentral
CAGCCGUAAACUAUGCGCGUUAGGUGUAUCGGUGACCACGAGUUACCGAGGUGCCGAAGGGAAACCGUGAAACGUGCCGCCUGGGAAGUACGGUCGCAAGGCUGAAACUUAAAGGAAUUGGCCGGGGGAGCACCACAACAGGUGGAGCCUGCGGUUUAAUUGGACUCAACGCCGGGAAGCUCACCGGAUAGGACAGCAGAAUGAUUGCCGGGCUGAAGACCCUGCAUGACUAGCUGAGAGGAGGUGCAUGGCGUAGACGUCU